Lepisosteus oculatus (spotted gar) is the source of this 67-nucleotide microRNA precursor. It matches the Rfam family "mir-34 microRNA precursor family". Rfam says of the family: Human mir-34a was discovered computationally and later experimentally verified. The mature sequence is excised from the 5' arm of the hairpin. NCBI's taxonomy places the organism in Eukaryota, Metazoa, Chordata, Actinopteri, Semionotiformes, Lepisosteidae. The record is from Rfam.
GGUUGCCAGGCAGUGUAGUUAGCUGAUUGUGCGAGUGGGUAAUCACUAACCACACAGCCAGGUGAAC